GUAGGUGGCAAGCGUUGUCCGGAUUUAUUGGGCGUAAAGGGAGCGCAGGCGGUCUGUUAAGUCUGAAUGUGAAAGCCCUCAGCUUAACUGAGGAAGAGCAUCAGAAACUGGCAGACUUGAGUGCAGAAGAGGAGAGUGGAACUCCAUGUGUAGCGGUGAAAUGCGUAGAUAUAUGGAAGAACACCACUGGCGAAGGCGGCUCUCUGGUCUGUAACUGACGCUGAGGCUCGAAAGCAUGGGUAGCGAACAGGAUUAGAUACCCUGGUAGUCCAUGCCGUAAACGAUGAGUGCUAAGUGUUGGGAGGUUUCCGCCUCUCAGUGCUGCAGCUAACGCAUUAAGCACUCCGCCUGGGGAGUACGACCGCAAGGUUG
This 372-nucleotide ribosomal RNA is filed under the name uncultured bacterium. RNAcentral describes it as "bacterial SSU rRNA". It matches the Rfam family "Bacterial small subunit ribosomal RNA", at positions 527 to 896 of the family's 1533-position model. The record is from RNAcentral.